GACAGAGGUGCCAAGCGUUAGGCGGAAUCACUGGGCUUAAAGCGUGUGUAGGCGGGCCCGUAAGUGUCUUGUGAAAUCCCACGGCUCAACCGUGGAACUGCUGGGCAUACUGCGGGUCUUGGGCCAACUAGGGGCAGCCGGAACAAGCGGUGGAGCGGUGAAAUGCGUAGAUAUCGCUUGGAACGCCGAAGGUGAAAACAGGCUGCUGGGGUUGCGCCGACGCUGAGACACGAAAGCCAGGGGAGCAAACGGG
Molecule: ribosomal RNA, 253 nt
Filed under: uncultured bacterium
Lineage: Bacteria
Description: partial 16S ribosomal RNA
Rfam family: Bacterial small subunit ribosomal RNA
Source: RNAcentral